GACGAACGCUGGCGGCGUGCUUAACACAUGCAAGUCGAACGAUGAAGCUGGAGCUUGCUCCGGUGGAUUAGUGGCGAACGGGUGAGUAACACGUGAGCAAUUUGCCCUUGACUCUGGGAUAACUGCGGGAAACUGUAGCUAAUACCGGAUACUUUCACUGGAAGGCAUCUUCUGGUGAAGAAAGAAUUUCGGUCAAGGAUGAGCUCGCGGCCUAUCAGCUUGUUGGUGAGGUAACGGCUCACCAAGGCGACGACGGGUAGCCGGCCUGAGAGGGUGACCGGCCACACUGGGACUGAGACACGGCCCAGACUCCUACGGGAGGCAGCAGUGGGGAAUAUUGCACAAUGGGCGCAAGCCUGAUGCAGCAACGCCGCGUGAGGGAUGAAGGCCUUCGGGUUGUAAACCUCUUUUAGCAGGGAAGAAGCGAAAGUGACAGUACCUGCAGAAAAAGCACCGGCUAACUACGUGCCAGCCGCCGCGGUAA
RNAcentral lists this ribosomal RNA (484 nucleotides) under uncultured bacterium. Its description in RNAcentral is "partial 16S ribosomal RNA". It matches the Rfam family "Bacterial small subunit ribosomal RNA", at positions 28 to 523 of the family's 1533-position model. The record is from RNAcentral.